This 1526-nucleotide ribosomal RNA is filed under the name metagenome. Its description in RNAcentral is "bacterial SSU rRNA". It matches the Rfam family "Bacterial small subunit ribosomal RNA". The record is from RNAcentral.
GAUUCUGGCUCAGAACGAACGCUGGCAGCGUGGAUUAGGCAUGCAAGUCGAACGUGAAGCCGUUGAACAAUCUUUCGGGUGAGUGAUUCGGUGGAAAGUGGCGGAAGGGUGAGUAACGCGUGGGUGAGCUGUCUCGAAGUUGGGGACAACCAGAUGAAAAUCUGGCUAAUACCGAAUGUGGCCUUCUGGCGCAUGUCAGGAUGACUAAAGGUGGGGAUUCUUCGGAACCUGCCGCUUUGAGAGGUGCCCGCGUGCCAUCAGCUUGUUGGUAGGGUAAUGGCCUACCAAGGCUUACGGCUAGCCGGCCUGAGAGGGUGAUCGGCCACACUGGGACUGAGACACUGCCCAGACUCCUACGGGAGGCUGCAGUCGAGGAUCAUUCGCAAUGCGCGAAAGCGUGACGAUGCGACGCUGCGUGGGGGAUGAAGGCCUUCGGGUCGUAAACUCCUGUCAUGAGGGAAUAGUAUCCCUGUAAUUAAUAGUUGCGGGGCUCGAUGGUACCUCAAGAGGAAGCCACGGCUAACUCUGUGCCAGCAGCCGCGGUAAUACAGAGGUGGCGAGCGUUGUUCGGAUUUACUGGGCGUAAAGGGUGCGUAGGUGGUUUUGUGUGUCGGAUGUGAAAUCCCAUGGCUCAACUGUGGAAUUGCAUUCGAAACUGCGGAACUAGAGUGCAGGAUGGGAGAGCGGAAUUCUUGGUGUAGCGGUGAAAUGCGUUGAUAUCAAGAAGAACACCGGUGGCGAAGGCGGCUCUCUGGAAUGCUACUGACACUGAGGCACGAAAGCUGGGGGAGCGAACAGGAUUAGAUACCCUGGUAGUCCCAGCCGUAAACGGUGCACACUUGGUGUGGGGAGAUUUAACCCUCUCCGUGCCGGAGUUAACGCGUUAAGUGUGCCGCCUGGGGAGUACGGCCGCAAGGCUAAAACUCAAAGAAAUUGACGGGGGCCCGCACAAGCGGAGGAGCAUGUGGCUUAAUUCGAUGCAACGCGAAGAACCUUACCAGGGCUUGACAUGGGGACCCUUCGGGGGUGGUAGCGAAAGUUACCUUUACCAUCACAGGUGCUGCAUGGCUGUCGUCAGUUCGUGCCGUGAGGUGUUGGGUUAAGUCCCGUAACGAACGCAACCCUUGUGGCUAGUUGCCACCGGUGGUGAUGAGCCGCCGAGCACUCUAGCCAGACUGCCCGUACAAGCGGGAGGAAGGUGGGGAUGACGUCAAGUCAGUAUGGCCCUUACGUCCUGGGCUGCACACGUGCUACAAUGGUCGGUACAGUGGGAUGCAAUACCGCGAGGUGGAGCAAAUCCCCAAAGCCGCCCUCAGUUCGGAUUGAAGUCUGCAACUCGACUUCAUGAAGUUGGAUUCGCUAGUAACGGCGCAUCAGCUACGGCGCCGUGAAUACGUUCCCGGGCCUUGUACACACCGCCCGUCACAUCAUGAAAGCCGUCUGCACCCGAAGUCGCUGAGCCAACCAUUUAUGGAGGCAGGUGCCGAAGGUGUGGGUGGUGAUUGGGAUGAAGUCGUAACAAGGUA